CCUACGGGAGGCAGCAGUGGGGAAUAUUGCACAAUGGGGGAAACCCUGAUGCAGCGACGCCGCGUGAGUGAAGAAGGAUUUCGGUUUGUAAAGUCCUAUUAGUAGGGAAGAAAAUGACGGUAUCUGACUAAUAAGCCCCGGCUAACUACGUGCCAGCAGCCGCGGUAAUACGUAGGGGGCAAGCGUUACCCGGAUUCACUGGGCGUAAAGGGAGCGUAGGCGGGAUAGCAAGUCUGAAGUGAAAGGCGGUGGCUCAACCAGCGAACUGCAUUGGAAACUGUUAGGAUGGAGUACGGGAGAGGUAAGUGGAAUUCUUGGUGUAGCGGUAAAAUCCGUAGAUAUUAAGAGGAACAC
This 354-nucleotide ribosomal RNA is filed under the name uncultured bacterium. RNAcentral describes it as "partial 16S ribosomal RNA". It matches the Rfam family "Bacterial small subunit ribosomal RNA", at positions 338 to 709 of the family's 1533-position model. The record is from RNAcentral.